RNAcentral lists this ribosomal RNA (444 nucleotides) under uncultured bacterium. RNAcentral's name for it is "SSU rRNA". It matches the Rfam family "Bacterial small subunit ribosomal RNA", at positions 26 to 518 of the family's 1533-position model. The record is from RNAcentral.
AGAGCGAACGCUGGCGGCAGGCCUAACACAUGCAAGUCGAGCGCCCCGCAAGGGGAGCGGCAGACGGGAGAGUAACACGUGGGAACGUACCCUUUGGUUCGGAACAACACAGGGAAACUUGUGCUAAUACCGGAUAAGCCCUUACGGGGAAAGAUUUAUCGCCAAAGGAUCGGCCCGCGUCUGAUUAGCUUGUUGGUGAGGUAACGGCUCACCAAGGCUACGAUCAGUAGCUGGUCUGAGAGGAUGAUCAGCCUCACUGGGACUGAGACACGGCCCAGACUCCUACGGGAGGCAGCAGUGGGGAAUAUUGGACAAUGGGCGCAAGCCUGAUCCAGCCAUGCCGCGUGGAUGAUGAAGGCCCUAGGGUUGUAAAGUCCUUUCGACGGGGAAGAUAAUGACGGUACCCGUAGAAGAACGCCCGGCUAACUUCGUGCCAGCAGCCGC